UAAGACCUGUGGAACACUAAACCACAUCUUCUGAAUGCA
Molecule: transfer RNA, 39 nt
Filed under: Crotaphytus bicinctores
Lineage: Eukaryota; Metazoa; Chordata; Lepidosauria; Squamata; Crotaphytidae
Description: partial tRNA-Ala
Source: RNAcentral